UACAGAGGGUGCGAGCGUUAAUCGGAAUUACUGGGCGUAAAGCGCACGUAGGUGGCGACGUAAGUCGGGUGUGAAAGCCCCGGGCUCAACCUGGGAACUGCAUUCGAGACUGCAUUGCUGGAGUACGGAAGAGGAGGGCGGAAUUCCCGGUGUAGCGGUGAAAUGCGUAGAUAUCGAGAGGAACAUCGGUGGCGAAGGCGGCCUUCUGGACAGCGACUGACGCUGAGACGCGAAAGCGUGGGGAGCAAACACG
RNAcentral lists this ribosomal RNA (253 nucleotides) under uncultured bacterium. RNAcentral's name for it is "partial 16S ribosomal RNA". It matches the Rfam family "Bacterial small subunit ribosomal RNA", at positions 524 to 776 of the family's 1533-position model. The record is from RNAcentral.